GGGCGUAUGGUCUAGAGGUAUGAUACCUGCUUUGGGUUUGUAUAUCCAGUUGCAGGGGGUCUUCGGUUCGAAUCCGGAUUCGCCCC
RNAcentral lists this transfer RNA (86 nucleotides) under Lentinula edodes (shiitake mushroom). RNAcentral's name for it is "tRNA-Pro". It matches the Rfam family "tRNA". From Rfam's summary of the family: Transfer RNA (tRNA) molecules are approximately 80 nucleotides in length. Lineage: Eukaryota; Fungi; Basidiomycota; Agaricomycetes; Agaricales; Omphalotaceae. The record is from RNAcentral.